RNAcentral lists this ribosomal RNA (425 nucleotides) under uncultured rumen bacterium. RNAcentral's name for it is "bacterial SSU rRNA". It matches the Rfam family "Bacterial small subunit ribosomal RNA", at positions 354 to 776 of the family's 1533-position model. The record is from RNAcentral.
GUGGGGAAUAUUGGUCAAUGGCCGGAAGGCUGAACCAGCCAUGCCGCGUGCAGGAAUAAGGCCCUAUGGGUCGUAAACUGCUUUUGUGGUGGAGCAAUAAGACGUACGUGUACGUCGAUGAGAGUACAUCACGAAUAAGCAUCGGCUAACUCCGUGCCAGCAGCCGCGGUAAUACGGAGGAUGCAAGCGUUAUCCGGAUUUAUUGGGUUUAAAGGGUGCGUAGGCUGUUUGUCAAGUCAGGGGUGAAAUACCUGAGCCUAACUCAGGAACUGCCUUUGAUACUGGCAGGCUGGAAUACGGAUGCCGUGGGAGGAAUGAGUAGUGUAGCGGUGAAAUGCAUAGAUAUUACUCAGAACACCGAUUGCGAAGGCAUCUCACGAAUCCGUCAUUGACGCUGAGGCACGAAAGCGUGGGGAUCAAACAGG